Molecule: ribosomal RNA, 253 nt
Filed under: uncultured bacterium
Lineage: Bacteria
Description: partial 16S ribosomal RNA
Rfam family: Bacterial small subunit ribosomal RNA
Source: RNAcentral
UACGGAGGGUGCAAGCGUUGUCCGGAUUUAUUGGGUUUAAAGGGUGCGUAGGCGGCGCAUUAAGUCAGUGGUGAAAGCCGGCAGCUCAACUGUCGAAUUGCCAUUGAUACUGAUGUGCUUGAGUACAUACGAGGUAGGCGGAAUUGAUGGUGUAGCGGUGAAAUGCAUAGAUACCAUCAAGAACACCGAUUGCGAAGGCAGCUUACUAGUCUGUAACUGACGCUGAGGCACGAAAGUGUGGGGAUCAAACAGG